AAUACUAGAAAAUAGUAACAACCAAUGUCUAUUAUAUCACUUUUCACUAAAAACUUGUCAGAAAAGUAUCACGUGAACAAGCAAUGAUCAAAUAUCAAAUUUUCAUUUUGAUGAAUAAGGAAACUAAAAAAGUUCUAAAAUUAUUUAUUUGUAGUGUUAUACAUGUUGUUUUAAGUAUCAUAAAAUUUUAAGUGAAGAAUACGUAUAAUUUUCGUUAGAUUCAC
RNAcentral lists this long non-coding RNA (224 nucleotides) under Capsicum annuum. RNAcentral describes it as "long non-coding RNA (CANN_LNC011718)". Lineage: Eukaryota; Viridiplantae; Streptophyta; Magnoliopsida; Solanales; Solanaceae. The record is from RNAcentral.